GGGCAUGUGUUGGAAUUGGUAUACAAGCACGGCUUAGAACCGUGUCCCGAAAGGGAUGUGGGUUCGACUCCCACCAUGCCCACCA
Molecule: transfer RNA, 85 nt
Filed under: candidate division WWE3 bacterium RBG_16_37_10
Lineage: Bacteria; candidate division WWE3
Description: tRNA-Leu
Rfam family: tRNA
About the family: Transfer RNA (tRNA) molecules are approximately 80 nucleotides in length. Their secondary structure includes four short double-helical elements and three loops (D, anti-codon, and T loops).
Source: RNAcentral